GUUCUCUGUGAGUCAGACUUUGGUAGCCUCCUUACUUGCUCCACUUGCUUCAGAGAGAGAAGUGCGGGUUUGCGGUUUAGUGAAGGAGCAAGGCUCAUGUGAAUAGAAGAAUCCAAGGUAGAGCAGGAAGAGAAAUCCAGCUAGAGAAAGAGGUGGAAGUCAAAAUAAGUAGACUCUUAUUUUAAAUUUUUAAUGGCUUCUUGGUGGCUUCAAGAUAAAAGAUAGACAAUGAGGAGCUUUGUGUUUGGGAAAAGAAUAAAAGUCAACUGUAGCAAAACCUCUCAGAAGUAGGAUUUAUAAACAGUUCUCAAAGGAUGCACAUGAAAAUGUAAUUUCUUGGGAAAGUGGCAAACAGAAAAGAAUCAAACCGCAGUUGUGUGUGGCAAGGAUAAAUAUGCAACGCACCAUCAAUAGGAUUUGUUGGGUGAAUAAAAAAGCCUUUUAGCCAACAAUAUGUAAGCAGAAGAAUGGAGCAGGAGUUAGAGAGAACCCUCAAGCAAUAAUGGAGGCCACUGGAGAGGCAAGACUGCCAAAGGCUAAGUUAUUGACCCAGUAUUUUUAAAACUGCCUCCGAAAAGAAGCCUGAACGAAAGAAAAUAAUUUGUGCUAUUAGAAUGUAUUUUUCCUUUGUGUUCCUAUCUACUUCCUUCACAAGCUAUUUUUGAUUGAUUUUUCUGAGAACAAAAUAAAUAUCCACAGUGAGUCACAAAUGUAAAUGUAUUGAGUGCCCAAUGUAUGGAGCCCUUUCUCCAAGACCUCACUGCCGUAAAUACAAAUAUAACUGAGAACUGGUGAUUUGAAGAUGAUUCUUGGGAUAGCGGGCUAGGCGGCACUUCACACUGGCUUUUGGGGCCACAUAGGGGUGUAAUCAUGUUAUCACCCUGCACAACCCCAGAGGGUACCAUACACAACCCAUUUGACCAAACAUGGCAGUCCUGAAAGGAAUGAUGAUUGAAAGCCAAGACUGAGCUUUGGCAAGGAAACCACCUCUGAAUUACCAACUCAUUGUCUAUAAUGUAAUGAUAGCAUCUACCUCUUAGUAAUUUUGUGAACAUUAAAUGAAUAAAGCAUGACAAAAG
Homo sapiens (human) is the source of this 1079-nucleotide long non-coding RNA. Ensembl annotates it as long intergenic non-protein coding RNA 2498. The record is from Ensembl. NCBI's taxonomy places the organism in Eukaryota, Metazoa, Chordata, Mammalia, Primates, Hominidae.